UUUUUUUGCAUUUCAAUCUGUUCUUCUUAAUCCAAACAAACUAGUACUCCUUAGCACUGUAUUACUCAUGUCCUUAUAAAUGACUCUGAAUAAAGCAGUGUGCCAGAUGGAUGACAUUAAAGUGGAACUUGAUAGAUUAUACUUGAACCAAAGCAUGAAGCAUUUUUUGAUGUCUCACAGAUAAUCAUAAGAUGGUGUUAGCAGGUUUAAAAUAUGAAAACUAUGGAAAUCACAAAGAAUAAAUUAUCAUAAAUACUUGGUAUAAAAAAAUGACCCUUCAGUGAGAUAGAACUUUUGUUUGUUGUGCAAGGAAUAGGCACCAUGAAAGUAAAAAUAAACAAUUAUUUAUGAUUUGGGUAUAAUUUGCUUAUGUCAGGACGGACUUGGCUAAAUACUGAGAU
This 401-nucleotide long non-coding RNA is filed under the name Bos taurus (domestic cattle). RNAcentral describes it as "long non-coding RNA NONBTAT022479". The record is from RNAcentral. Lineage: Eukaryota; Metazoa; Chordata; Mammalia; Artiodactyla; Bovidae.